UACGUACCGGACAAACGUUAUUCGGAAUUACUGGGCUUAAAGAGUGCGUAGGCGGCCUAGCAGGUGGGGUGUGAAAGCCCACGGCCCAACCGUGGAAUUGCGCUUCAAACCGCUAGGCUGGAGGGAGACAGGGGUGAGCGGAACUGAUGGUGGAGCGGUGAAAUGCGUAGAUAUCAGGAGGAACACCCGUGGCGAAGGCGACCUUCUAUCUCGGAUCUGACACUGAGGCGCGAAAGCCAGGGGAGCAAACGGG
This 253-nucleotide ribosomal RNA is filed under the name uncultured bacterium. Its description in RNAcentral is "partial 16S ribosomal RNA". It matches the Rfam family "Bacterial small subunit ribosomal RNA", at positions 524 to 776 of the family's 1533-position model. The record is from RNAcentral.